AGGAUGGAACUGUUGGCAUAUUUUAUAUAUUAAAAAUAUUUACUUCUUUGUAGUGUUUAUUAUUAUAAUUAUUUCAUUCAUGAUAAUUAUUUUAUGCAAAUUUCUAUUUUGGCUAUUUUUUCCAUAUAGAAUAUAUGUAAAUAGUGAUUUGAGUAUUUUAACAUUAAAAUUUUUUACUAGAUUUCAUUUUUUAUAUAGAGCAUUAAUUAAAAUAGAAAGAUAUAUCAAAAUUUUCCAGACUUCCAAUUGUUCAGCAACUUUGAGAGAUAUAUGAGUCCACCACUAGGAGACACUGUCUGCACCAAUAAUAUUGACCUGGAUAUAAUGUAACUUAUGUUACAACAUUUGCGACCAAGUAUUUAUUUCGUUCAGUAUCUCACACUGGUUAACAAUCCCAAAGAAUAUACAUGAAGUUUUGUGUGAAAUUCUGAAAAUCAGCCAAUAGGACUGGAAAUGCUUCAAUAGGCUUUUAAUAAUGAUACUCUAAGCUGUUCAGUUUUUUUAGUGGUAGGCAUAUUUCAAAAAUGUCUGAAUGUCUGUUGAAGACAACAAUGAUGCAGGAUGACUGUCACUAUACUAUCCAGGCAUUUUCAACAUUAUUGGAAUUUCAAUUGAACCUGCCAGUAUAGCAGGUUCACUACAAAUUGAAAAUGUAUUCCAUCACUACUAAGUUCAUCUCCAAGUCUUUGAUAUCAAAUAGAAGCAACAUCAUCUGAAUGUCUGCUAUGAGCUAUGUGAUCAAGAAAAUGAGGACUCAACCUUUUUCUUGAAGGCCAUCACAGGUGAUAAAGGUUGAGUUUACUAAUUUGUCUCUGGAUCAUACUUGUAGUCUUUGCAGUGGAAGAACUCAUGAUUACAAAGACUGAAGAAGACAUGGCAAAUGAGGAGCAUAACAAAAAUCAUUUUAAUGGUUUUUUUUUUACAUCAAAGGGUUUUUGCAUCUGGAAUUUACCAUAUGCAAUCAGUCAAUUCGGACUUUUUUGUUUUGAGACAGCUGAGAGAAGACAUUUUUUUCAAAAUAACCAAAACUCUGUGGCACAACCAUAAUUGGCUGCUUCAUCACAAUAAUGCUGCUGCUUUCACUACUAUGAAAAAGCAAUCAUAUUUGAUAGCUAGCAACAUGCAAUUAUCCCACAUCAUUCAUACUUGGAAUUUUCUUUUUACACUACAUUAAAAAGAUUUUCAUUGAGCAUUUGAAGCAUGAAGACACAUUGGGGCUGCUGUAUAAAGUCACAAGGAAACUAUAUGGAAGGAAUGGAGACUAGUUGUUCAAUAAGUUACACCUAAUAUGUUUUACAAAGUAAGUCUGGAAAAUUUUCUAAACUACAUUUUGUUUUUGAAAAAUUAAAAUCUAAAUUUGACUUUAAUAUAACAAAUUUCAUUGCUUUAGUUAUUGCAAAACUAAAACAACACCAAAUAAAACAUCAAAAAAAAGAGAGAGAGAGAAAUUUACCACUGCUUUAAUAGAACCUGCCAUAUGUAGGAUACAAAAGCCAUAUAUUUAUUUCAAUACUUCCAUACAGAAGAUUAUUGACUUAUAACAGGGAUACGUUCAAAAAUUUUGAUCAUAAGUUGAAUCUUUCAUAACUCAGAAUGUGAUUUCCCUUAGAUAAAAUCUUAUAAAUGGAAGUUAAAUUCUCCAACCAUUAAAACUAAGAAUAUUUAACAUGUUUUUAAAAAUUGAUAUAAUAAUAAUAAUCAGUGCUCAAAAUAAUUUUGAAAAUCCAGUAGCCAAAAAAAAUUUCUGGUCGCCAACUCCCCCUUCCCC
Molecule: long non-coding RNA, 1768 nt
Filed under: Androctonus crassicauda
Lineage: Eukaryota; Metazoa; Arthropoda; Arachnida; Scorpiones; Buthidae
Source: RNAcentral